Molecule: ribosomal RNA, 451 nt
Filed under: uncultured bacterium
Lineage: Bacteria
Description: partial 16S ribosomal RNA
Rfam family: Bacterial small subunit ribosomal RNA
Source: RNAcentral
GAUGAACGCUGGCGGCGUGCCUAACACAUGCAAGUCGAGCGGCAGCGAGGGGUGCUUGCACCCUGCCGGCGAGCGGCGGACGGCUGAGUAACGCGUGGGAACGUGCCCCAAAGUGAGGAAUAACUGCCCGAAAGGGUAGCUAAUACCGCAUAUUAUCUUCGGAUCAAAGGAUUUAUCCGCUUUGGGAGCGGCUCGCGUCGGAUUAGGUAGUUGGUGAGGUAAUGGCUCACCAAGCCGACGAUCCGUAGCUGGUCUGAGAGGAUGACCAGCCAGACUGGAACUGAGACACGGUCCAGACUCCUACGGGAGGCAGCAGUGAGGAAUCUUCCACAAUGGGCGAAAGCCUGAUGGAGCAACGCCGCGUGCAGGACGAGGGCCUUCGGGUUGUAAACUGCUUUUAUAAGUGAGGAAUAUGACGGUAACUUAUGAAUAAGGAUCGGCUAACUACGUG